AUUGAACGCUGGCGGCAUGCCUUACACAUGCAAGUCGAACGGUAACAGGUUAAGCUGACGAGUUGCUAACGGGUGAGUAAUGUAUCGGAACGUGCCCAGUCGUGGGGGAUAACUGCUCGAAAGAGCAGCUAAUACCGCAUACGACCUGAGGGUGAAAGCGGGGGAUCGCAGGACCUCGCGCGAUUGGAGCGGCCGAUAGCAGAGUCGUUAGUUGGUGGGGUAAAGGCUCACCAAGGCGACGCUCGGUAGCUGGUCUGAGAGGGUGACCAGACACACUGGGACUGAGAUACGGCCCAGACUCCGACGGGAGGCAGCAGUGGGGAAUAUUGCACAAUGGGCGGAAGCCUGAUGCAGCAACGCCGCGUGCGGGAUGACGUCCUUCGGGUUGUAAACCGCUUUCGCCUGUGACGAAGCGUGAGUGACGGGAAUGGGUAAAGAAGCACCGGCUAACUACGUG
This 457-nucleotide ribosomal RNA is filed under the name uncultured bacterium. RNAcentral's name for it is "partial 16S ribosomal RNA". It matches the Rfam family "Bacterial small subunit ribosomal RNA", at positions 29 to 507 of the family's 1533-position model. The record is from RNAcentral.